GUCCCUGUUGCGCAAUGGAUAGCACGUUGGAUUUCUAAUCCAAAGGUCGUGGGUUUCUAUUCCACCUGGGAUG
RNAcentral lists this transfer RNA (73 nucleotides) under Trichonephila inaurata madagascariensis. It matches the Rfam family "tRNA". Rfam says of the family: Transfer RNA (tRNA) molecules are approximately 80 nucleotides in length. Their secondary structure includes four short double-helical elements and three loops (D, anti-codon, and T loops). Further hydrogen bonds mediate the characteristic L-shaped molecular structure. tRNAs have two regions of fundamental functional importance: the anti-codon, which is responsible for specific mRNA codon recognition, and the 3' end, to which the tRNAs corresponding amino acid is attached (by aminoacyl-tRNA synthetases). tRNAs cope with the degeneracy of the genetic code in two manners: having more than one tRNA (with a specific anti-codon) for a particular amino acid; and 'wobble' base-pairing, i.e. permitting non-standard base-pairing at the 3rd anti-codon position. Lineage: Eukaryota; Metazoa; Arthropoda; Arachnida; Araneae; Nephilidae. The record is from Rfam by way of RNAcentral.